Molecule: RNA transcript, 2573 nt
Organism: Nematostella vectensis (starlet sea anemone)
Lineage: Eukaryota; Metazoa; Cnidaria; Anthozoa; Actiniaria; Edwardsiidae
Gene name: PAB1-binding protein 1-like
Exons: 8
Source: RefSeq, a predicted model, not a curated record
AUUCAACAUGGUCUCGAGAAUGAAUUAACGAUUAUCCUUAAAUGUUAUUUGACCACUGAAUUAAUGAUAGUCAUUAAUUCAUUGUCAUGCGCAAGGCGCGGAUGCUAAGGUGUUGUUGAUCACAUGGUUGACUACUCAAGCAUUCAAUUGCAAGCAUUGAAGCAAGCGAGGAUGACUGGUAAGCGAGGUCGAUACCUUUUGAAAUACUUGGCUUAAAACGAUUUGUUUUGUCAAUUGUUCAUUGAGCGUGAAAUUUUUAUUCAAAUAUUUGAUCUCUCGUUUUGACAAACUUCGAUUUCGUAGUUCAAAUGCGGGAAAAGUAUAAAGAAAUCCUGAUCGAUAAGUACGAUGAUCUAUCACGUGUGGAAUGCUUCGAUCGUUCAACGUGAUCCGAAAUAUUUCUGAAAUAAGCUUACAAAAGCAAUGGAGCAUAUAUUAGCUACCAUGCGAUAAUACUCUCGUCCAUGGUCCCCAUACAGCUGCUUUAGUUCAAGAAGAAAGGUUCCCAAGUCAAAGUUGUUUGCACGUCUAAACCAUCCCUGUUACAUUAUCUUCGGCUGCUAAACUGUUAUAGCCAAGUUGGCUUAAAUAUGCGUACCAAAUGUACUAAUAUGUUAUUAUAAACCAAAUAUAUAUUCCGAAUACCAUGCUUUCUAUCAGCGCUAUUUUAUAAUUCAGGAUAAAUUGCAGGAGUGAUAUUAGACAUCUAUUUAGAUACUUCAUCCAUCCUUAUGCAGGACUCCCGGAUAUUGUGAUAUUAUCAGAUACUUUCUAAUCAGAUGCUAUUAGAUAUCCAUUUAAAGAUACCCUCAAGCUCCUCCUCUAUGCGGGACCCCACGAACUCGAUAUUAAAUAUAAUUAUCCUCAUUUUUACUAAGAGAUUACAUUGCCAGCAAUAAUUUACACAGAAUAUAUAAAAAUAUAGAUUUUUUUAGUGAUAUGUUAUGAAAUUCUGUUUAUGGUAAUGUUAUGCUUACUUUACAGGCCAUGCAAACUUUACAGGCCAUGCAAAAAAAAAACUUUAAUAUAUUGUAACACAUUUUAUUACUUUUUUAUUAAAAGACAAACCACAGACACCAAACAAAAAGAUAGUACCGCGGCUUAAGGCCUGUCCAGAAUGUGGUACAAAUUGUCCUACUGCAUGUCGCAGCUGCAAAAAUGAAAACUGCUCAUACAUUUUUGCGAAGAAGGUCAAGUCGAACCAUGAUGCUAUUGAAAAGAAAGGGACAACCAACCCAACCAAUCAGAAAGACAUGAUGUAUUAUAGGGUGCCAGCUCAACCACACUGUGCACCAUGUGCAGAUAAAGGUGUGUAUGCAGAACCACCAUAUCGCAUUUGGAACCUCUGUGUGUGAGCAAAAGAAGGGUAAGGUGCCAGCUCAACCACACUGUGCACCAUGUGCAGAUAAACACAUGUAUGCAGAACCACCAUAUCGCAUUUUAGCCCAAGAUUUAUGUCUGCAAGAAUGGUCAAGGAUUACAUAAUUAAUAAGUUAUCAUUUUGCAUGACACAAUAAUAGCAAUUAAGCGAAUACAUGCAGACAUGCACACUCAGCAGUCUUCAGAUUAUGUAAUCAGUUUAUUAUGUUGCAGCUAAAUGUAGUCUAAUAAUGUAUCCUUAGACUAUUGCACUGUCAGCUUAAAUUUAAGUUCUGUCCCCUCAAGUCACAUUCUUGGAGCAUGUUUCAAAUUUCAUACUCUGGCCUCACAGCAUUGCAUAUUUAUUUGAUUCUAGGCAGACGUCCUGCAUCAGAAACACCAAAAUGACAUUGUCAUUUUGACAUUUAAAAAACAUGGUCUGGGCACAACAGUAGAGUGCUAUGGCACAGAAGGUGCCGGUGCAGCCUUUGUUGGGCACGAGGGGGAGAAGCCUGCCCAUGAACUUGGGAAAAUGGUUAAGAAAAUGUUUGAGACGUUUAUGGAAGAGGCCGUUAGGACAACAACAAUGCAAUAUCACUUUGCUUGACAAGCUAAGCUUGAUCCUGGAAAGAGAGGAGCUCCCAAAAAGAGAUGCCAUAGCUGCAAUGACAGCAAUGCCCUUGCACGAAGAGUUUGUACAACGUGCAAGGCCCCUUUCCCUCCCCCAAAAAAGAAGGAAAUGAGGGGGGAUGGGAAUAUCACCCACCAAAGAGGACAUCUUUUCGAUAGGGCAGAUGUCCUUCAAAAGGAGCACGGCGUGGAUGUGGUCGUCCUUAUGUUUGGACGGCACGGCAAAGGGACGACCACAUCCUGCUACGGCACAAGAGGAAGGGGCCUGAAGUUUAUCGGGGACCAGCAGGAGGCCAAACCUGACGAGGAUGGCCAACUUGCCUUCCGCUUGUUUGAUAGAUUCAUGAGAGCCCAAAGAAAAACACCCGCGGCAACAACACCACCCACCGGGUCACCCGCGGCGACAACACCACCCACGGCAGCACCCGCGGCGACAACACCACCCACGGUGGCACCCGCGGCGACAACACCACCCACGGGGGAACCCACGGGGGCACCCGCGGCGACAACACCAACCGAGGCGGCGUCAACAUGAACAUAGCAUGCUCCAUGUACAAAACAGAAUAAAUCAGUUUAUUUUUCAA